This is a non-coding RNA of Coffea arabica (coffee), 703 nucleotides long. NCBI's taxonomy places the organism in Eukaryota, Viridiplantae, Streptophyta, Magnoliopsida, Gentianales, Rubiaceae. The record is from RefSeq and is a predicted model, not a curated record.
CAUUUCUUCCUUUCUUAAUACCAAGAUACCGCUUUCACAAUCUCAUUUCCUUCUCUGCACAACUCCACCGAAACCACUGCAAUCCCUCUCCACAACCGCACCUCACCUCUUCCUUUACCUUAGUCCGAGAGCAAGAGAGAUUGAGAGCUGCAGUCUCGGUUCCAUCGACAAGAGUGAGCAAGAUGGAGCCGAGCUUCUUGUUUCUUUUCUUUCUGUCCGUAACUUAUAGAGGGAAGAGAGUGACUUGCGAUCCAUUCUGCCUUCCAUCCGUGAGCUGGUGAAGAGCUUGAGACCACAUUUCCUUCAUCCAGCCGCAAGCCAGAGCAAGGGAGAGAGGGAGAGAUAGCGGUCUGCAAUUUCUGGGCUGCCGAAGGGAGGAGGAUUAUUUCUGCUGCUAACCGUGUGUGUGAGCUCCAUUUGAGGUCCUGGAAACUGAAAGCUGGAUGCUUACUUAUGUUUUCCUUAUGGAUUGUAUUUGACUACUAUAACUUAUUCUGUGGGCUGUAAUGUGUUUUUUUUGGAUAAUGUACUUUUCUUUUUGGAUUGCCACUUGAAGCUGGAAAAUGUGUAAACCCUAAUUCGAUUACUUGGUUUGUAAGUUUGUAUUUGGGAUUUAUGUAUGUAUCUAUCCGGAUUGGUGCGACUUUAUACUUUGGUACGUAGCACGUAGGACGUUUAAGAGCACCGACUGGUUAUUUUAUCA